CCUACGGGGUGCAGCAGUGAGGAAUAUUGGUCAAUGGGCGCGAGCCUGAACCAGCCAAGUCGCGUGAGGGAAGACGGUCCUAUGGAUUGUAAACCUCUUUUGUCGGGGAGCAAAAGACGCCACGCGUGGCGUUCCGAGAGUACCCUAAGAAAAAGCAUCGGCUAACUCCGUGCCAGCAGCCGCGGUAAUACGGAGGAUGCGAGCGUUAUCCGGUUUUAUUGGGUUUAACGGGUGCGCAGGCGGAAGAUCAAGUCAGCGGGAAAAUUGAGAGGCUCAACCUCUUCGAGCCGUUGAAACUGGUUUUCUUGAGUGAGCGAGAAGUAUGCGGAAUGCGUGGUGUAGCGGUGAAAUGCGUAGAUAUCACGCAGAACUCCGAUUGCGAAGGCAGCAUACCGGCGCUCAACUGACGCUCAUGCACGAAAGUGUGGGUAUCGAACAGGAUUAGAUACCCUUGUAGUC
This 459-nucleotide ribosomal RNA is filed under the name uncultured bacterium. Its description in RNAcentral is "partial 16S ribosomal RNA". It matches the Rfam family "Bacterial small subunit ribosomal RNA", at positions 338 to 795 of the family's 1533-position model. The record is from RNAcentral.